Long non-coding RNA from Armigeres subalbatus, 574 nucleotides. RefSeq lists it as uncharacterized. The record is from RefSeq and is a predicted model, not a curated record. NCBI's taxonomy places the organism in Eukaryota, Metazoa, Arthropoda, Insecta, Diptera, Culicidae. The transcript is spliced from 3 exons.
AGCUUAGAGCACCAGAGAUAGAGAUUAAACUACCUGCAGGUACCCCAUGUAUGCAAAUUGUUUAGCGACGUGAUCGUUAAUUAUAGGAUUCGAGCACUCAUCUCUCUUCGAAUCCUCUAUCCAUUAUUGCUCCAGAUGUUUAAAAAUUAUCACCACCUCAGAUCUCACUCUCAGUUAUUUUUCCCACUAAUAUAUCGUUGCACGGACACGGAUCGAGUUUUAGUUUUCGGUUAAAUAUCAAGCAGGCAAGUCUAGCUAGCCAAUAUUAAAAGAGCCUGACCGAAAGUGAAGUGCUUUGAUACCGGUGGUGUUAGAGUGAAGAAACCAGUGUUUCGAUUAUUAGAGAUGUCUUCCUGCAGACCACCUCUUAAUAUGUGCAUGCUGAGGGGCGAAAUGGAGUAGAGCGUAUGUUUGCUAGAGAUCGGCCUUUCUAUUCUUAGCCUACAUCGAUGGCUGUGCUCUUUGUGUCGUGUGAUCUAUUGGCUAAGGGUUCCACUAAGGCUAGUGAGAAGUCUGGCGCGGAGAAUAAAAUGUGGUUCGAAUCAUCGUCGAGGCCAUCGUCUGUCCGGACAGA